This is a long non-coding RNA of Micropterus salmoides (largemouth bass), 357 nucleotides long. RefSeq lists it as uncharacterized. NCBI's taxonomy places the organism in Eukaryota, Metazoa, Chordata, Actinopteri, Centrarchiformes, Centrarchidae. The record is from RefSeq and is a predicted model, not a curated record. The transcript has 2 exons.
AUCCACAGUCAGCUGGCCGUUUUCUCGGCUCAGUUUGCAGCCAGUAGCAGCAGCGACACUCUGCUGGAGCUAAAGGCUGAAGACUCGCUCCGUGCAGAAACGGAGAAGAACAAAUCCAAGAUGGCUGUGUGUAUUCUGAAUCGAAAGAGGUAUAGCCUUUACCCUCUGACCUUACAACCUGCUGACCACUUCCGUACACAACACUGAAGACGUCUCAAAGUGCACUACAUCAGUCCCACGGGGUGCUGAACAACGACAGAGAGCAAAGACAACAAAAAAAAAACUCAGAAAAAUAAUGUACACUUUGCAGUGAAUAUACAUCUGGGCAUCACUGUCAAGCCUCUGCCUCCCUCCUGU